This 495-nucleotide ribosomal RNA is filed under the name uncultured bacterium. RNAcentral describes it as "partial 16S ribosomal RNA". It matches the Rfam family "Bacterial small subunit ribosomal RNA", at positions 28 to 507 of the family's 1533-position model. The record is from RNAcentral.
GACGAACGCUGGCGGCGUGCCUAAUACAUGCAAGUAGAACGCUGAAGGAGGAGCUUGCUUCUCCGGAUGAGUUGCGAACGGGUGAGUAACGCGUAGGUAACCUGCCUGGUAGCGGGGGAUAACUAUUGGAAACGAUAGCUAAUACCGCAUAAGAGUAGAUGUCGCAUGACAUUUGCUUAAAAGGUGCAACUGCACCACUACCAGAUGGACCUGCGUUGUAUUAGCUAGUUGGUGAGGCAACGGCUCACCAAGGCAACGAUACAUAGCCGACCUGAGAGGGUGAUCGGCCACACUGGGACUGAGACACGGCCCAGACUCCUACGGGAGGCAGCAGUAGGGAAUCUUCGGCAAUGGACGGAAGUCUGACCGAGCAACGCCGCGUGAGUGAAGAAGGUGUUCGGAUCGUAAAGCUCUGUUGUAAGAGAAGAACGAGUGUGAGAGUGGAAAGUUCACACUGUGACGGUAUCUUACCAGAAAGGGACGGCUAACUACGUG